GAGCUAUGAUGAUAAUUAGCAUUUCUGUGCUGUUGGUCAAUCACUAUCAUCUCUUAGAUGAAAAUGUGUGCUUCUGAGCUC
This 81-nucleotide small nucleolar RNA is filed under the name Lupinus angustifolius (narrow-leaved blue lupine). RNAcentral's name for it is "small nucleolar RNA snoR114". It matches the Rfam family "small nucleolar RNA snoR114". Lineage: Eukaryota; Viridiplantae; Streptophyta; Magnoliopsida; Fabales; Fabaceae. The record is from Rfam by way of RNAcentral.